GCUGCAGGUGAGACAUUCGCUCUUCCGUAAAAGCGGGAGGGAGGAAAGUCCGGACAGCACAGAGCGCCGCACCACCUAACGGAUGGUUUCCUGAUAUUAUGUAUCGGGAGAAGACAGUGCCACAGAAAAUAACUUCCCAGACAAUACUUGUCGGGGUAAAGGUGAAAAUGUGAGGUAAGAGCUCACGGUCCGUGGUGGCAACACCAGGGACGGGUAAACCUUGCGGGCUGUAAGGUCAAAUAUACUCCGGUUAACUGCUCAAAAGGCAGUUGGUAGGGCUGCUCGCCCUAUUCAUCUUCAUGAUGAUCCGGAGGUGGGUAGACCGCUCGAUCCCGUUGGCGACAACGGGACCAGAUAAAUGAAUGUCAGCAUCUGAAGGAGCAGCGGUGGUUGGAGAAAUCCAAUUCACCAACCCUUCGUUGGAUGAUACAGAAUCCGGCUUAUGAUCCUGCAGCAUUU
Molecule: RNase P RNA, 459 nt
Filed under: Chitinophagaceae bacterium
Lineage: Bacteria; Pseudomonadati; Bacteroidota; Chitinophagia; Chitinophagales; Chitinophagaceae
Description: RNase P RNA component class A
Rfam family: Bacterial RNase P class A
About the family: Ribonuclease P (RNase P) is a ubiquitous endoribonuclease, found in archaea, bacteria and eukarya as well as chloroplasts and mitochondria. Its best characterised activity is the generation of mature 5'-ends of tRNAs by cleaving the 5'-leader elements of precursor-tRNAs.
Source: RNAcentral